GGACGAACCUCUGGUGCACCAGUUGUCAUACCAAUGGCAUGGCUGGGUAGCUAAGUUCGGAAGGGAUAACCACUGAAAGCAUCUAAGUGGGAAGCCUGCCUCAAGAUAAGAUUUCCCCGUCGCAAGACAUGAAGGACCCCGGAAGACCACCGGGUUGAUAGGUCAAUUGUGUAAGCACAGCAAUGUGUUAAGCUUAUUGAUACUAAUUGUCCGUUAGGCUCCCUUUU
RNAcentral lists this ribosomal RNA (227 nucleotides) under Deltaproteobacteria bacterium. Its description in RNAcentral is "partial 23S ribosomal RNA". It matches the Rfam family "Bacterial large subunit ribosomal RNA", at positions 2699 to 2925 of the family's 2925-position model. The record is from RNAcentral. Lineage: Bacteria; Pseudomonadati; Myxococcota; Myxococcia.